Molecule: ribosomal RNA, 864 nt
Filed under: uncultured marine archaeon
Lineage: Archaea
Description: bacterial SSU rRNA
Rfam family: Archaeal small subunit ribosomal RNA
Source: RNAcentral
AUUGGAGUUCGAUUAAGCCAUGCGAGUCCAGAGCUUUCGGAGCUCGGCGUACCGCUCAGUAACACGUGGGUAACCUAACCUAUGCAGGGGAAUAACCUCGGGAAACUGAGUAUAAUGCCCCAUAGUCCACUACGCCUGGAACGGUGAGUGGAUAAAAGCUCAGGCGGCAUAGGAUGGGCCUGCGGCGUAUCAGGUCGUAGGGGGUGUAAAGUACCCUCUAGCCAUCUACGCGUACGGGUGUUGGGAGACAUGGCCCGGAGAUGGAUUCUGAGACACGAAUCCAGACCCUACGGGGUGCAGCAGGCGCGAAAACUUGACAAUGCGAGCAAUCGUGAUCAGGGAACUCCAAGUAGCUGGGGUAAGACCCAGUCUUUUCAUAACUCUUCAAAGGUUGUAGAAUAAGGGGUGGGUAAGGACGGUGCCAGCCGCCGCGGUAAUACCGGCGCCUCAAGUGGUAGUCGCUUUUAUUGGGCCUAAAACGUCCGUAGCCGGUUUGGUACAUUCGUGGGUAAAUCAACUCGCUCAACGAGUUGAAUUCUGCGAGGACGGCCAGACUUGGGACCGGGAGAGGGUGGUGGGGUACUCUUCAGGGUAGGGGUAAAAUCCUGUCAUCCCUGAGAGGACCACCUGUUGCGAAGGCGCCACACUAGAAACGAAUCCGACGGUCAGGGGACGAAGCCCUAGGGGCACGAACCGGUUAGAUACCCCGGUAGUCCCCUAGGUGUAAAACGCUGGGAACUUUGAAUGGGUUUGGAGAAGCUCCGAGCUUCUUCAGUGCCGAAAGCGAAAGGGGGUGUAAUCCAUGCCCCCGGGGAAGUACGGCCGCAAGGCUGAAACUUAAAGGAAUAUGUGGGCGGGGAGCAC